UACGUAGGGGGCAAGCGUUGUCCGGAAUCAUUGGGCGUAAAGAGCGUGUAGGCGGCCCGGUAAGUCCGCUGUGAAAGUCCAGGGCUCAACCCUGGGAUGCCGGUGGAUACUGUCGGGCUCGAGUCCGGAAGAGGAGUGUGGAAUUCCUGGUGUAGCGGUGGAAUGCGCAGAGAUCCGGAAGAACACCGGUGGCGAAGGCGGUCUGCUGGGGUAAUGCUGACACUGAUGCGCGACAGCGUGGGGAGCAAACAGG
Molecule: ribosomal RNA, 253 nt
Filed under: uncultured bacterium
Lineage: Bacteria
Description: partial 16S ribosomal RNA
Rfam family: Bacterial small subunit ribosomal RNA
Source: RNAcentral